GGCGAGGUCGCUCAACUGGCAGAGCAUAAGAGCAUCAUGUAUGUGAUGCAAACAGCUAUUACUUUCUCUCAUCAAGAAAAACUGGUGGUUCGAAUCCACCCCUUGCCA
This 108-nucleotide transfer RNA is filed under the name Caudoviricetes sp. RNAcentral describes it as "tRNA-Met". It matches the Rfam family "tRNA". Rfam says of the family: Transfer RNA (tRNA) molecules are approximately 80 nucleotides in length. Lineage: Duplodnaviria; Heunggongvirae; Uroviricota; Caudoviricetes. The record is from RNAcentral.